Molecule: non-coding RNA, 118 nt
Organism: Morus notabilis
Lineage: Eukaryota; Viridiplantae; Streptophyta; Magnoliopsida; Rosales; Moraceae
Source: Rfam
GUAAUGUUUCUUGCUCAAAUGAGUAUUCCAGAAACAGUAGCAUUAGUCUAUCCGCGUAUUAAUAUCAGUUAAUUUGCUGCUGGUUUUCUGAGAUGCUCAUUUGAGCAAGCAAUGUUAU